Molecule: ribosomal RNA, 434 nt
Filed under: uncultured Blautia sp.
Lineage: Bacteria; Bacillati; Bacillota; Clostridia; Lachnospirales; Lachnospiraceae
Description: partial 16S ribosomal RNA
Rfam family: Bacterial small subunit ribosomal RNA
Source: RNAcentral
ACGGAAGGCAGCAGUGGGGAAUCUUGCACAAUGGGGGAAACCCUGAUGCAGCGACGCCGCGUGAAGGAAGAAGUAUCUCGGUAUGUAAACUUCUAUCAGCAGGGAAGAAAAUGACGGUACCUGACUAAGAAGCCCCGGCUAACUACGUGCCAGCAGCCGCGGUAAUACGUAGGGGGCAAGCGUUAUCCGGAUUUACUGGGUGUAAAGGGAGCGUAGACGGAAUUGCAAGUCUGAUGUGAAAGGCAUGGGCUCAACCCGUGGACUGCAUUGGAAACUGCAUUUCUUGAGUACCGGAGGGGUAAGCGGAAUUCCUGGUGUAGCGGUGAAAUGCGUAGAUAUCAGGAGGAACACCGGUGGCGAAGGCGGCUUACUGGACGGCAACUGACGUUGAGGCUCGAAGGCGUGGGGAGCAAACAGGAUUAGAUACCCUGGUA